AUUGAACGCUGGCGGAAUGCUUUACACAUGCAAGUCGAGCGGCAGCACGGACUUCGGUCUGGUGGCGAGAGGCGAACGGGUGAGUAAUGUAUCGGAACGUGCCCAGUCGUGGGGGAUAACGUAGUGAAAAUUACGCUAAUACCGCAUACGAACUCUGGAUGAAAUCGGGGGAUCGCAAGACCUCGCGCGAUAGGCGCGGCCGAUAUCAGAUUAGGUAGUUGGUGGGGUAAAGGCCCACCAAGCCAACGAUCUGUAGCUGGUCUGAGAGGACGACCAGCCACACUGGAACUGAGACACGGUCCAGACUCCUACGGGAGGCAGCAGUGGGGAAUUUUGGACAAUGGGCGAAAGCCUGAUCCAGCCAUUCCGCGUGCAGGAUGAAGGCCCUCGGGUUGUAAACUGCUUUUGUACAGAACGAAAAGGUUUCUACUAAUACUAGGAGCUCAUGACGGUACUGUAAGAAUAAGCACCGGCUAACUACGUGCCAGCAGCCGCGGUAA
This 500-nucleotide ribosomal RNA is filed under the name uncultured bacterium. Its description in RNAcentral is "partial 16S ribosomal RNA". It matches the Rfam family "Bacterial small subunit ribosomal RNA", at positions 30 to 523 of the family's 1533-position model. The record is from RNAcentral.